CACGUAGUUAGCCGGGCUUCUUGGUCAGGUACCGUCAUCUUCUUCCCUGCUGAUAGAGCUUUACAUACCGAAAUACUUCUUCACUCACGCGGCGUUGCUGCAUCAGGGUUUCCCCAUUGUGCAAUAUUCCCCACUGCUGCCUCCCGUAGGAGUUUGGGCCGUGUCUCAGUCCCAAUGUGGCCGGUCACCCUCUCAGGUCGGCUACUGAUCGUCGCUUUGGUGGGCCGUUACCCGCCAACUGGCUAAUCAGACGCGGGUCCAUCUUAUACCACCGGAGUUUUUCACACCGUACCAUGCGGCACUGUGCGCUUAUGCGGUAUUAGCAGUCAUUUCUAACUGUUAUCCCCCUGUAUAAGGCAGGUUACCCACGCGUUACUCACCCGUCCGCCGCUCAGUCAUACAGGAUUCCAUCCGAAAACUUCCUCCUGUAUGCUUCGCUCGACUUGCAUGUGUUAGGCACGCCGCCAGCGUUCAUCCUGAGCCAGGAUCAACUCUC
This 496-nucleotide ribosomal RNA is filed under the name uncultured Lachnospiraceae bacterium. RNAcentral's name for it is "partial 16S ribosomal RNA". Lineage: Bacteria; Bacillati; Bacillota; Clostridia; Lachnospirales; Lachnospiraceae. The record is from RNAcentral.